UACCGCGAAGAACCUUACCUACUCUUGACAUCUACAGAAGCCAGCGGAGACGCAGGUGUGCCUUCGGGAACUGUAAGRCAGGUGCUGCAUGGCUGUCGUCAGCUCGUGUUGUGAAAUGUUGGGUUAAGUCCCGCAACGAGCGCAACCCUUAUCCUUGUUUGCCAGCACUUCGGGUGGGAACUCCAGGGAGACUGCCGGUGAUAAACCGGAGGAAGGUGGGGACGACGUCAAGUCAUCAUGGCCCUUACGAGUAGGGCUACACACGUGCUACAAUGGCGCAUACAGAGGGCGGCCAACUUGCGAAAGUGAGCGAAUCCCAAAAAGUGCGUMGUAGUCCGGAUUGGAGUCUGCAACUCGACUCCAUGAAGUCGGAAUCGCU
This 379-nucleotide ribosomal RNA is filed under the name Vibrio sp. RNAcentral's name for it is "bacterial SSU rRNA". It matches the Rfam family "Bacterial small subunit ribosomal RNA", at positions 957 to 1336 of the family's 1533-position model. The record is from RNAcentral. Lineage: Bacteria; Pseudomonadati; Pseudomonadota; Gammaproteobacteria; Vibrionales; Vibrionaceae.